CGGAGCUCCCCUGCGCCGCGUCCUCCGCCGCCGCCGCAGCUACCUCCUCCGCCGCUCCCUUUUGCCUCGCGCAGCUCCCCUGCCUCACUUGCCUGCCUCCCGAAUCUCCCCUCUUUGACCCCAAAAAUUGCUUCUUCUUCCUCCCGCCGUGUCUCUUGCUCGAGCCCACCACCUCCCACCUAGCGUUGAUGGAAGAAGCGUGGCCAGCCCUCGGCCUGGCGGCCGGCGACGCGGCCUUCCCACCCCCGCCCCGGCCCCCGUGGCGUGGGGCGCGGCCGCGACGGCGCGGCGGGAGACGGUGGCCAAGGAAUCGUCCGCGCGCAGGCGGUGAGCCGGAUCGUGUCCAGCCGCGCCAACUCAAGUGGCCUGGCCGUGGACGUCGUCGACGCCAACGCCGUCAUCUCGGGAGGCGCCGCGCUCGCCUCCACCGCGGGCCGGCUGGUCACGGUGCUCGAGGAGGUGUGCGACGCCGCAGCGCGCCGGAGGCUCGCGCUCCUGCCCACCCCCGUCGAGACCACCGAGCCCGCCCCUGAGUUCGUCAAGGGAGUAGGGCCAGCUCGAACCGUGUGCACCUGGAAGAAGGCCAGCCCAAAGUUGAUGAAGGGAGAAAGCCAAUAGGAUGCCCUGCAAAUCGAUUUCGAACAAGUUUACUGCAGUACCUGACGGCCUCUCACAGUCUGCAACCAGCCAACCACCUCUACUGGCUGCUGCCACUCCUCACAUUGGCUAGGUAAUUCCUCUUAAUUUCUAAGAAAGCUAUCCCCUGCUCUCCGUUGCAACAAGUGUAUGAAUUUUUAACUGAACUUCAACUGAAAAACUGUGUAUCACUGUAUAAAGGAGAAAAUGACUAUGGAUUAAAGGUCUGAGAAAACUGUGUAUGUACACUGUGUAUCACUGUAUCAUGGAGCAGUAUAGUACUGAAAACAUCUCCAUAAAUGAAUUUUGACAGUUUACAGAUUCAGAGUUUGGAGUACUAGCAAUUAUCUUCAGCAAGACAAGUUUACAAACAUCUCCAUAACUGAAUUUUACAAAUUCUCCAUAAAUGAAGACAUCUCCACAAAUUCUCCACAAAUGAAUUUUGCUUGUACAUACACUGUGUACAAGCAAGAUAAAUUCAGCAAGACAAGUUUACAAAUUCUCCAUGAAUGAAUUUUGACAGUUUACAAACAUCUCCACGAAUACAUGGAAAGAAAAGUUUACAAAUUAUCUUCAGCAAUUAUCUUGCAGGUUCAUCAGCACUUGAAAAAACAGCCAUAGUAAAUUCAGAGUUUGGAGUACUAGCAAAUUAACUGAACCCUGAAACCUGAAAUUUUAACUGAAUUUUACCAUCUUAUUCUUCCUGAGGAACACGAGCUCUGGGCUCUGGCGGCAGCACAAGGAGCAGGGCAGAGGAGCAGGACCUCGUCAGCGUGCUUCUUGCUGCGCGCCAGUCCCCGGCGCCGGGGGCAAGGGGCGGGGUGGGGUCGGGAUCCUCGAUGCCGCAGGUGGCGCUGGUGCUGGAGGUGACGCUGUUCCCCCCGCUCGCCGGCGUAGCCGCUGCUGCUGGGGCUGGGCGGACCGGCGUCGCCGGCCAUCCUCCUCC
Molecule: ribosomal RNA, 1582 nt
Filed under: Triticum aestivum (bread wheat)
Lineage: Eukaryota; Viridiplantae; Streptophyta; Magnoliopsida; Poales; Poaceae
Description: partial small subunit ribosomal RNA
Source: RNAcentral